AAUAAGUUUAUUUUUUAGUUUUUAGAUAUAAUGUUUUGACUUUUGGACUUAUUUAAAAUUCUUUUGCAACUAAUAUUUUUAUUGUUACUAGAUGAUAAAAUAUAAAUAGUAUUUUAUGCGUGACUAAUUUUUUAAGCUUUUUAUAAAAUUUUCAAAUAAGACGAAUGGUCAAAUCAUUGGGCAUAUAAAUCGAAAAAUGAUGUUAUU
Molecule: microRNA precursor, 207 nt
Filed under: Oryza brachyantha (malo sina)
Lineage: Eukaryota; Viridiplantae; Streptophyta; Magnoliopsida; Poales; Poaceae
Description: MIR812 microRNA precursor family
Rfam family: MIR812 microRNA precursor family
Source: Rfam by way of RNAcentral